This 223-nucleotide unclassified non-coding RNA is filed under the name plant metagenome. RNAcentral's name for it is "partial contains small subunit ribosomal RNA, internal transcribed spacer 1, and 5.8S ribosomal RNA". The record is from RNAcentral.
UUUCCGUAGGUGAACCUGCGGAAGGAUCAUUACAGUGUUCUCUGCCCUCACGGGUAGAAACGCCCACCCUUGUGUAUUAUAUCUUUGUUGCUUUGGCAGGCCGCCCUCGGGCACCGGCUCCGGCUGGAUCGCGCCUGCCAGAGGAAACCCAAACUCUGAAUGUUGGUGUCGUCUGAGUACUAUCUAAUAGUUAAAACUUUCAACAACGGAUCUCUUGGUUCUG